UUGGAGGGCAAGUCUGGUGCCAGCAGCCGCGGUAAUUCCAGCUCCAAUGGCGUAUAUUAAAGUUGUUGCAGUUAAAAAGCUCGUAGUUGAACUUCGGGGUUUACUUAUUGGUCAGGCUUAAUUGUCUGUACUGGUGAGAUGAAUCUCUACUUUCUGAGGAACUUUCAUGUCAUUUAUUUGGUGUGAUUGGAAAUCAGGACUGUUACUUUGAAAAAAUUAGAGUGUUUAAAGCAGGCUAACGUCUGAAUACAUUAGCAUGGAAUAAUGAAAUAGGACGGACUGAUUCUAUUUCGUUGGUUUCUAGGAUCACCGUAAUGAUUAAUAGGGAUAGUUGGGGGCAUUAGUAUUCAAUUGUCAGAGGUGAAAUUCUUGGAUUUAUUGAAGACUAACUACUGCGAAAGCAUUUGCCAAGGAUGUUUUCAUUAAUCAAGAACGAAAGUUAGGGGAUCGAAGACGAUCAGAUACCGUCGUAGUCUUAACCAUAAACUAUGCCGACUAGGGAUCGGACGAAGUUAAUUUUAUAAUGACGCGUUCGGCGCCUUACGGGAAAC
RNAcentral lists this ribosomal RNA (551 nucleotides) under uncultured Glomeromycotina. Its description in RNAcentral is "SSU rRNA". It matches the Rfam family "Eukaryotic small subunit ribosomal RNA", at positions 548 to 1098 of the family's 1831-position model. Lineage: Eukaryota; Fungi; Glomeromycota. The record is from RNAcentral.